UGCGUGGUGGGCACUAUUUAAUUUUUAAUUGAUGUUUUUUUUAGCUAACAUCCGCGACGUGCAAACCGCAGCAACCCGUGUUUAAAAAAUGAAGCGGAAAUGUUCUGUCCCAAUGGUAAUUAGAAUUGCCACCACUGCCAGUGUUGUAUUUGGAUCGAUUAUUUGGCAGAUAAAUUAAUCGAAAAUACAACCUGCGAUAUUGUAAGGGCUCGUUAGGUCGGUAUCAUAAAGAAGGUAAAUGUCAGGAGAAAUUAAGGAAAAGCCGAAAAGCGGAAAAAUGCCGCGUCAUUCCCGUAGGUAUAAAAGGGGGAAAAAGGAAAACGCGCCCUUAUGAUUCAAGUGGUGCGACAGUAAAAUAGUGGUCAUAAAAGUAAAAAAAAUUAAAACCUGCCAAAUUUCAAAAUAAAAGUUACUUUUUUUAAGGCAAUAAAAGCCUCGAUAUUUAUUUUAUUAUUUAUGGUGAAGGCGUUAGUAAUUGAUUUGUUUCGCCAAAAUAAUUUAAAUUUCUCGAGGGUAUCAACUGGCCUCCUCGGCGAACAAAAGCGGAGAGGUCAGCCCAUCUUUGACGGCCACAGCAACCACCACAACGCAAAAUUGAGGCCCCAGCGACCGCCUCCAUAACACCAAUUCCCUUGAUCCAUGAUAUCCGGGUUCUGCUUUAUCCUGGUGGACGAGGUCGCGGAAGAGUGAUCCUGGAAAAGAACAAAGCAGGUUGUACUAAAGAAUGCAAAAAGCCAGGUAACAAAGUUAUUUAUUAAACUUACCGCUUGUUUGAUACAACCACUGGCAUAAAAUAAAAACCAGAACCAGGAGGGAAAUCCUGCAACAGAAAAAGGGAGAAAUUCCAUUAAGAAAAUUUAUUAAAAAAAAAAAGCAAAAGGCAGAAAAAUUCAUAUAAAUUAAGAGAAAGAACUAAUCAAAUAUUCAAAUUUUUAAUUAAGAUAAGAUAUUUAGGUUAAGUGUGUUGUCUAAGCAUAUUAUUAUUGUUUUUUUUUGUGUCCAGCAUAAAUGUUCUUGUUUUUGUGAGGGACAUUAACUAUUCUAAAUUUUAUGAGUAAAUUGGAGUGUAGGGUUACCCCAAAUUACUUUGAGUGUUAUAAUUAAGAUUUUUUUGAGUUUCCGUUGAAUAUUGUGGACCAGUUUGCGGGUCCCUCACCACCUAAGAGAGCUCGUUUAGGCAGGUACUAAUUGCAUAACUUAGAAAGUCCAAAAUUUGGUGACAUUUAGUUGACUGAAGUAAUGAAGGGUGGUCUGAUAUAUAUGAACUCCUCAAACAAUGACUAAGAGAUCCUGAUAGUUAAUGUUUCAAAUUUCAGCUUGUUUGUUCUAUUUUAAGGAAAUCUUAUAUAUUAAUAAAUUGUUCGUAAUAUGAUUGUUUGUGUAA
This is a long non-coding RNA of Musca domestica (house fly), 1384 nucleotides long. RefSeq lists it as uncharacterized. The transcript has 2 exons. The record is from RefSeq and is a predicted model, not a curated record. Lineage: Eukaryota; Metazoa; Arthropoda; Insecta; Diptera; Muscidae.